GGGGUUUCUAUGAUAUCUACGUGUAAUCAGCGACCUGAAGUUCACUGGACCAAUCCCUGGUGCUCCUUAUGGCCCUAGCUUUAUUAUCUCUUAUUUCUAGUACCUCAGGGCUUGAGUCAAGUACUCCUCUGGACAUUCCUACGUCAAUUCGCCAUAUGCUACAGUUGUAUUUACAAUUUACUCCCAUCGGUUGAGGAGUAUGUCCUACAACCAUAGCUUUGGCGCCCACACUUUGUAGUGUCUCUUCAAGAAGAUAUUGUACCUGCUCAAGCUGGUAGUUUUCCAGCUCCACGCCAUCUCUGGAGUACAAACGGUUCCACACAACACUGUCAUAGCCCCUGGUGGCUAUAAAAGGGAUCUGUGGAGAAUCGUCUUCUUCACUCGGACCUUUCAUCCAUCGAGAAACUUCUCUAUUCAGCCUUUCUAAGCCAUAGGCAACAUGAUGAGGAAGAAGGCCACCAUGACAGAAAAGCCAAUCCUCAACCUUAAGAACUACACCGUGUCGUGCCAACUCACAUGCCAAUGGACCCCCAGGUCUCAUCAGGAUUGAUCUUGCAAUUACACCCUUUUGCCGCUUCACCAAAUUCCACUGAGCCCAAUAAUUUUGAGACACCUUCCGGUCCUGUUUCCAUCUGGCAGACACAGCACACCAACUGACAAAAGCCUCUUCCCAGUUGCGUUCACAUUUAUCCAAGUAUUCCAAAAAGUCUAUACACUCGUCAAGUGCCCCGUUAUCAACAUAUCUGUAGUCUCCUUCGACAUUCAUAGUUUCAUGAUUUCCAUUGACCUGGAAAACUGCCCCACCAUGGGCUUUUGCCUGGAUAUCUAAUGACUUCAACAAAGAUAAAAUUGCAAGUUCGUCUUCACCUCUAUCAAGUAUAUCUCCGAGCUGAACCAAAACCGUCUCACCACCAAUCCACAAACUUUGACCAUCAGAACUCAGCACACCAGCCGUCUCAAGUGCACAUCUUGCCUUAUCAAGAUCUCCAUGCAAAUCUCCAACUGCUACAAUUCUGCGACCCGGAGCAGAGACGAAAGUGGGCGGAUCCC
RNAcentral lists this unclassified non-coding RNA (1050 nucleotides) under Hevea brasiliensis (rubber tree). The record is from RNAcentral. Lineage: Eukaryota; Viridiplantae; Streptophyta; Magnoliopsida; Malpighiales; Euphorbiaceae.